AAAAUGACUCUCGGCAACGGAUAUCUCGGCUCUUGCAUCGAUGAAGAACGUAGCGAAAUGCGAUACUUGGUGUGAAUUGCAGAAUCCCGUGAACCAUCGAGUCUUUGAACGCAAGUUGCGCCCGAAGCCAUUAGGUUGAGGGCACGCCUGCCUGGGUGUCACAAAUCGUU
RNAcentral lists this ribosomal RNA (170 nucleotides) under Mundulea stenophylla. RNAcentral's name for it is "5.8S ribosomal RNA". It matches the Rfam family "5.8S ribosomal RNA". From Rfam's summary of the family: 5.8S ribosomal RNA (5.8S rRNA) is a component of the large subunit of the eukaryotic ribosome. It is transcribed by RNA polymerase I as part of the 45S precursor that also contains 18S and 28S rRNA. Lineage: Eukaryota; Viridiplantae; Streptophyta; Magnoliopsida; Fabales; Fabaceae. The record is from RNAcentral.